AUGGAAUCAAUCACCGUCCGGCACGUGGCAGUGAUUCCUUUCCCAUGCCAAGGCCACAUCAACGCCAUGAUGGGUGUCUGCAAGUCACUAUCUUCAAAACAAGACCAUGGAAUUCUCAUCACCAGUGUUGUCUCUGAAGAGUGGCUCAGCUGCAUCUGUGGCUAAAGCCAAAUGAUAACAGUAACAACACCAUUCGCUUCGCUACCAUCCCUAACGUGGUCGAGCGUGAAAAAAUGGGUGACUUUGGACCCUUCAACGAAGUGGUGAAGGCGAAAAUGGAAGCUCCCGUUGAAGAACUCCUGGAUCGACUCGACCCUCUGGUGGAUAGAAUCAUAGCCGACUUUGAGCUGCAGUGGCCACUCGACUUAGCGAUUCGAAAGGAAAUUCCAAUUGCCUCGCUUUGGAGCAUAUCGACUUUUUUUUUUCUCCAUGCUUCAUCGUCAUUAUGUUUUCACACAGCAUCAUCAUCUGCCACUUCACUUUAUAGAUGACGAAGACAAUCAUGUGGAAAACAUACCCGGGAUUUCUUCAACUGAUUUAGAUGACUUACAAAUCGUAUUUCAUGAAAACAACCCAAAGGGAAUGGAACAAAUCUUGAAUUGCUUUUCAAUUGUGUCCAAAGCACAAUAUGUUCUUGUCAAUUCCUUCUAUGAGCUUGAAGCUCAAGCCUUUGACUCUUUGAAAGCAACAUUCCCUUUCCCUGUGUACCCUAUUGGUCCUACCAACCGUUACUUGGAACCAAAACUUGAUCAACAUAGUUCCUUUACAACUACAUCAACUAUUGAUUAUCUAAAAUGGUUGGACUCUCAGCCUGCAGGCUCUGUCUUGUAUGUUUCAUUUGGAAGUUUUUUUGAGCUUUCAAGCACUCAAAUGGAUGAAUUCACAGUCGCGCUUUGUAGUAGUGGUGUUCGGUUCUUGUGGGUGGCGCGAGGGGAAGCUUCUAGGCUGAAAGAAACUUGUGGUGGUGAUAAAGGGUUGGUAGUGCCUUGGUGUGACCAACUAAGAGUGUUGUGCCAUCCUUCUGUAGGUGGAUUUUGGUCCCAUUCUGGAUGGAAUUCAGUCCAAGAAACUAUAUUUAUGCAGGCAUUCCUAUGCUUGCUUUCCCCUUAUUUUUGGACCAAGUUCCUAACAGUAGGAAAAUUGAGGAAGAUUGGAAGAUUGGGUAGAGGGUUAAGAGAGCAGAGAUAGGAAGUGAAAUUUUGGUGGCAACAGAGGAUAUAUUACAACACAUACAAAGGCUUAUGGAUCUUGAAAGCUGUGAGGGAAAAGAAACUAGGAAAAGAGCAAGAGAACUUAAAAAUAUGUAUGAUCAAGCGACUGCUAAAGGUGGAUCAUUUGAUUCUCACUUGGAUGCAUUUGUUAGUGACUUUUUAGAAGGCAAUUUGAACCAUUAAGAAGUUUGGUUAUUAUAUGAGA
Quercus lobata is the source of this 1416-nucleotide RNA transcript. It is a transcript of the gene named UDP-glycosyltransferase 87A1-like, with no coding region annotated. The transcript has 2 exons. The record is from RefSeq and is a predicted model, not a curated record. NCBI's taxonomy places the organism in Eukaryota, Viridiplantae, Streptophyta, Magnoliopsida, Fagales, Fagaceae.